Molecule: ribosomal RNA, 262 nt
Filed under: uncultured Sulfuricurvum sp.
Lineage: Bacteria; Pseudomonadati; Campylobacterota; Epsilonproteobacteria; Campylobacterales; Sulfurimonadaceae
Description: partial 16S ribosomal RNA
Rfam family: Bacterial small subunit ribosomal RNA
Source: RNAcentral
GUGCCAGCAGCUGCGGUAAUACGAAGGGGGCUAGCGUUGUUCGGAAUUACUGGGCGUAAAGCGCACGUAGGCGGAUAUUUAAGUCAGGGGUGAAAUCCCGGGGCUCAACCCCGGAACUGCCUCUGAUACUGGAUAUCUCGAGUCCGGAAGAGGUGAGUGGAAUUCCGAGUGUAGAGGUGAAAUUCGUAGAUAUUCGGAGGAACACCAGUGGCGAAGGCGGCUCACUGGUCCGGUACUGACGCUGAGGUGCGAAAGCGUGGGA